AACGACAAAAAAGCUCAAGGCAGGAACAGCAGCCCAGGGACCUGAGACCAGCGUUCUCAAAUGAAGAUCUGCUGUUAGAGGAGAAUUCUUCUGUCCUAGCUGUGUCUCUGUGAUCUGUGGAUGAGGGUGGGAAAGCACCACUCAGUCAAUUGGGGUGUACAAAAUGGAGUUUGAGAAGGUCUCACAUCCAGGUUGUUUUGAAGCAAAGUCCAAGCAUUGUAUCACUUCAUCUGCAAAUAUUUCAAUAAGUACCCAAAAGUGGUUGGACUGAGUCCCAUGAAGCCAGAUCACUUCUGACUGCAAGGAGCUUGGAAAAGCAAGUAUCUGGAUCUUUUACCAGCUAAAUUUGGAGCGAUGAGGCUUCCUCUUUGAAGAUCACAGGUGAGAAGAUUAGGUGCUUUCUCAGAAGCCCAGCAACCUGAUGGGAGUGUGGAGUGAGCAAGACCCAAAUCGGAGCUUCAUCCCUGCAUGGUUCAUUUUGCUUAUUUGGCAAACUUGCCCUGCAGAAUCUACUCAAGCUUCCUCAGUUUCUCAAAUCAUUCUUGGGCAACAAAUGAACAAGAAAGAGGACGUCUUAUUAUCUGGUGUCUGGCUUGCUGAUUUAAUAACCUAGGAGACAGUGUUUGAAGAACACAAACUCUAAAGUCCUUCACUUAAAAAAAAAAAAAAACUUUCCCAAAUUGCUUACCAUUUGGAAAAAUUGCCUUACCUUCUUCAGUCAUCUCUGAUGUUGUCAUCCUCAGAGUAAGAAGUACGCAUUCAUAAGGAACCAUAACGUCCUUCAGGAAAUCCAGUACACCCUACAAUUUUACCUAAAACUUUGAUGUUGUUUUUUCUGAGCAUUUUACCUUCUAGGGAAAUGGAUCUCAUGCUGUUUAUCAGUUUCUGAAAGUUGUUAUUAAUCUCCCCUCAUCCCAAAAUUGAAGAACUUUGCUUAAAUCUUAGAAUCAGAACUUUGGCUCCAGUAAUAAAGACUUUUCAAUAUCUUUAUCUGCCAUUGAGUCUUACCUAACGAAAUAAAGCCUCCAAAGUGGGAAUUUGAAA
This 1044-nucleotide long non-coding RNA is filed under the name Homo sapiens (human). RNAcentral describes it as "long intergenic non-protein coding RNA 1091". The record is from RNAcentral. Lineage: Eukaryota; Metazoa; Chordata; Mammalia; Primates; Hominidae.